RNAcentral lists this long non-coding RNA (222 nucleotides) under Elaeis guineensis (African oil palm). Its description in RNAcentral is "long non-coding RNA (EGUI_LNC030954)". The record is from RNAcentral. Lineage: Eukaryota; Viridiplantae; Streptophyta; Magnoliopsida; Arecales; Arecaceae.
UCUGACUUCGAUUCAUCUUCAUCAAGAUGGAUUAGCAAGCUCCUAGAUCAGCCUUGGAUUAGAUCUUCGAUAGAAUCUGGAUCAACUCUUAAUCGCAGCCUUCUUCUUCUUUUGCAUAGAUCUAUCAACACCCGACUCUUCGAGCACACCAGAUGGACCAGCCUAACUCCUUUGGGCGUGGGAGAGGAGAAAAGAGUAGAGAGGAGAGGGAGAGGGCAUGGA